GGGGAUAUGGCGAAAUCGGUAGACGCUACGGACUUAAUAAAAUCCGUUGACUU
This 53-nucleotide transfer RNA is filed under the name Utricularia amethystina. RNAcentral's name for it is "tRNA-Leu". Lineage: Eukaryota; Viridiplantae; Streptophyta; Magnoliopsida; Lamiales; Lentibulariaceae. The record is from RNAcentral.